Molecule: ribosomal RNA, 428 nt
Filed under: uncultured bacterium
Lineage: Bacteria
Description: bacterial SSU rRNA
Rfam family: Bacterial small subunit ribosomal RNA
Source: RNAcentral
UGGGGAAUAUUGGACAAUGGGGGCAACCCUGAUCCAGCCAUGCCGCGUGUGUGAAGAAGGCCUUUUGGUUGUAAAGCACCUUAAGCAGUGAAGAAGACUCCGUGGUUAAUACCCACGGACGAUGACAUUAGCUGCAGAAUAAGCACCGGCUAACUCUGUGCCAGCAGCCGCGGUAAUACAGAGGGUGCAAGCGUUAAUCGGAAUUACUGGGCGUAAAGCGUGCGUAGGUGGCUUGAUAAGUCAGAUGUGAAAUCCCCGGGCUUAACCUGGGAACUGCAUCUGAUACUGUUAGGCUAGAAUAAGUGAGAGGAAGGUAGAAUUCCAGGUGUAGCGGUGAAAUGCGUAGAGAUCUGGAGGAAUACCGAUGGCGAAGGCAGCCUUCUGGCAUCAUAUUGACACUGAGGUUCGAAAGCGUGGGUAGCAAACAG